Molecule: ribosomal RNA, 361 nt
Filed under: uncultured bacterium
Lineage: Bacteria
Description: partial 16S ribosomal RNA
Rfam family: Bacterial small subunit ribosomal RNA
Source: RNAcentral
CCUACGGGUGGCAGCAGUGAGGAAUAUUGCUCAAUGGGCGCAAGCCUGAUCCAGCCAUGUAGCGUGAAGGAUGACUGCCCUACGGGUUGUAAACUUCUUUUAUGAAGGAGUAAAGUGUAGCAUGUAUGCCUUUUUGUAUUUACGUUAUGCAUAAGGAUCGGCUAACUCCGUGCCAGCAGCCGCGGUAAUACGGAGGAGGCGAGCGUUAUUCGGAUUGAUGGGGUUUAAAGGGAACGUAGGUGGGUUGUUAAGUCAGAUGUGAAAGCUUGGGGCUCAACCGGAGAAUUGCAAUUGAUACUGGCAGGCUUGAGUAUAGUAGAGGUGGGUAGAAUUCGUGGUGUAGCGGUGAAAUGCGUAGAUA